Molecule: transfer RNA, 71 nt
Filed under: Marmota monax (woodchuck)
Lineage: Eukaryota; Metazoa; Chordata; Mammalia; Rodentia; Sciuridae
Description: tRNA.Ala
Rfam family: tRNA
About the family: Transfer RNA (tRNA) molecules are approximately 80 nucleotides in length. Their secondary structure includes four short double-helical elements and three loops (D, anti-codon, and T loops).
Source: RNAcentral
GGGGUUGUAGCUCAGUGAUACAGCACUUGCCUUGCACACAUGAGGUACUGGGUCCAAUUCUCAGCACCACA